CCUUGCCAGAGGUCCGUCACGAAGUUGCCCAACCACUGCCAGCCGCAAAUGUAAAACACGUACCUGACAGCACCGUACUCGGAACGCAGGGUGAUGGCGAGCUGCGACAGAGCGCGCCCGGGAGAGUGCGCACGGCUGCGGGCCGAGUGGGGCCGCGCUCGCCGGGGCUCAGGGCCCGCGCGUGCGUGCGUGCGUGCGAGCGAGCGAGCAAGGGGCUCCCGGGCCUCGGCGCGUGGUCUGCGCGCGCCCGGCCGUGCGUGCGGCUGCGGGAGGCUGCGUGUGCGCGCGGGGCGGCAGCGUCGGCCGCAGGCCAGCCGGUGUGGAGCGGGCUUGGAGCCGCGCGCGGAAGAGAAAGGGAAGAUUUGAGUUUGCAGUCUUCAACUGAGAAUUGGAGGCAUGAGGUGAUUUGAGAGCAAGGAGGAAGAAGAGAGGACCAAAGCUUUUCCAGAAAUGAAGAGAAUGCUGACGUAUAAUAAUUUGCUCCUGUAGCAGCUUGCUAGGUAUAGAACAUCGCUUUUAGAUGCCAUAUUGCUCGAUGGUGUUGAGUUAUGACUUAGACGUAUUCUUUUUCUGCUCUUUUGCUCAGUAGUUCACAGCAAAUCUUUUAAUUAAGCAUGGAAUAUGGAAAACAGCAGAAAAAACUUCUGCUAGUGCUUUAGUCUCAUCUGAAAUUCUAUGGGUAAGUUUAUCUUAUUUUAAUUUAG
This 704-nucleotide long non-coding RNA is filed under the name Ursus americanus (American black bear). RNAcentral's name for it is "lncRNA (ENSUAMG00000009367.1)". The record is from RNAcentral. Lineage: Eukaryota; Metazoa; Chordata; Mammalia; Carnivora; Ursidae.